This 377-nucleotide ribosomal RNA is filed under the name uncultured Verrucomicrobiota bacterium. Its description in RNAcentral is "bacterial SSU rRNA". It matches the Rfam family "Bacterial small subunit ribosomal RNA", at positions 521 to 896 of the family's 1533-position model. The record is from RNAcentral. Lineage: Bacteria; Pseudomonadati; Verrucomicrobiota.
UAAUACAGAGGUGGCAAGCGUUGUUCGGAUUUACUGGGCGUAAAGGGUGCGUAGGUGGCAUCGUAUGUCGGGUGUGAAAUCCCACGGCUCAACCGUGGAACUGCAUUCGAAACUGCGGAGCUAGAGUACAGGAGGGGAGAGCGGAAUUCUUGGUGUAGCGGUGAAAUGCGUUGAUAUCAAGAAGAACACCGGUGGCGAAGGCGGCUCUCUGGAAUGUUACUGACACUGAUGCACGAAAGCUGGGGGAGCGAACAGGAUUAGAUACCCUGGUAGUCCCAGCCGUAAACGGUGUGAACUUGGUGUGGGGAGAAUUGACCCUCCCCGUGUCGGAGCUAACGCGUUAAGUUCACCGCCUGGGGAGUACGGCCGCAAGGCUA